This 468-nucleotide ribosomal RNA is filed under the name uncultured bacterium. Its description in RNAcentral is "partial 16S ribosomal RNA". It matches the Rfam family "Bacterial small subunit ribosomal RNA", at positions 28 to 507 of the family's 1533-position model. The record is from RNAcentral.
GACGAACGCUGGCGGCGUGCUUAACACAUGCAAGUCGAACGGAAAGGCCCUGCUUUUGUGGGGUGCUCGAUUGGCGAACGGGUGAGUAACACGUGAGUAACCUGCCCUUGACUUUGGGAUAACUUCAUGAAACUGGGGCUCAUACCGGAUAGGAGCUCCUGCUGCAUGGUGGGGGUUGGAAAGUUUCGGCGGUUGGGGAUGGACUCGCGGCUUAUCAGCUUGUUGGUGGGGUAGUGGCUUACCAAGGCUUUGACGGGUAGCCGGCCUGGGAGGGUGACCGGCCACAUUGGGACUGAGAUACGGCCCAGACGCCUACGGGAGGCAGCAGGGGGGAAUAUUGCACAGUGGGCGGAAGCCUGAUGCAGCAACGCCGCGUGCGGGAUGACGGGCUUCGGGUGGUAAACCACUUUCGCCUGUGACGAGGCGUGAGUGACGGUAAUGUGUAAAGAAGCACCGGCUAACUACGUG